UUUCCUGUGGUGUAAUGGUAACACUUCUGAUUCUGGUUCAGACGAUCGUGGUUCGAGCCCAUGCGGGAAAA
Molecule: non-coding RNA, 71 nt
Organism: Mucilaginibacter lappiensis
Lineage: Bacteria; Pseudomonadati; Bacteroidota; Sphingobacteriia; Sphingobacteriales; Sphingobacteriaceae
Source: Rfam